GACGAACGCUGGCGGCGUGCUUAACACAUGCAAGUCGAACGGAAAGGCCCUGCUUUUGUGGGGUGCUCGAGUGGCGAACGGGGGAGUAACACGUGAGUAACCUGCCCUUGACUUUGGGAUAACUUCAGGAAACUGGGGCUAUUACCGGAUAGGAGCUCCUGCUGCAUGGUGGGGGUUGGAAAGUUUCGGCGGUUGGGGAUGGACUCGCGGCUUAUCAGCUGGUUGGUGGGGUAGUGGCUUACCAAGGCUUUGACGGGUAGCCGGCCUGAGAGGGUUACCGGCCACAUUGGUACUGCGAUACGGCGCAGACUCCUACGGGAGGCAGCAGUGGGGAAUAUUGCACAAUGGGCGGAAGCCUGAUGCAGCAACGCCGCGUGCGGGAUGACGGCCUUCGGGUUGUAAACCGCUUUCGCCGGUGACGAAGCGUGAGUGACGGUAAUGGGUAAAGAAGCACCGGCUAACUACGUG
Molecule: ribosomal RNA, 468 nt
Filed under: uncultured bacterium
Lineage: Bacteria
Description: partial 16S ribosomal RNA
Rfam family: Bacterial small subunit ribosomal RNA
Source: RNAcentral